RNAcentral lists this long non-coding RNA (641 nucleotides) under Lupinus angustifolius (narrow-leaved blue lupine). RNAcentral's name for it is "long non-coding RNA (LANG_LNC002453)". Lineage: Eukaryota; Viridiplantae; Streptophyta; Magnoliopsida; Fabales; Fabaceae. The record is from RNAcentral.
AGCACCCAACAACAUAGAGAUACUCAAGCAAAGACCUCUCUGGUUAAUCACAAUCUUUAAUUUUUAGGAUCUUAUUAAACAUAAGAAAUGUUGAAGACACAUAAAAUUUAAACCACAAUCAUUCAGACAUUUCAUCAAACAUCUUAUGAUCAUUAACAUAAAAAUGACAAAAUGUAAAAAUACCUUGGGAUAGCAUUUGCCACAAUUGGAGCAGCGAAUAAAAUUGACGUGGCCACAACCAUGCUUGAAGGGAAAAUCACAGAACAAAAUCGUGAAGGUGACACAACAUUCGUAAAAAAACAUAAAGAUCUGAAAUUUUUGAUCUGAAAACUUUCAAAUCAAGGGAGUUAUGGAGUUUUACGAAACAUAAAAAGGUGAGGGCAUGAAGAAAAGUCCAGUUUGAAUGUAGAAAUAAAAAUGCAUACUUUUUGUGAGAGAGAGUGAAAACGAAAAAAUCCAUAAGGAGUGGAAGACAUUUUGUAAUAAAUAUUUCAGGUGAUAGAGUCAUACCUCUCAUGCCUUGCAAAAAAAUUAGUUGUUUGAGCACAAUUAUUUUUUUGAAGAAAGAUGAGUGAGAUGGCUUUGAUUUGUUUGAGAUGAAGAAGAGAGAGAAGUGAAGAUGAGUUUCAGCAACAACGUAG